AUGGCUCAUCCUGAAGUCCAAUGCAUGAGGACAACAUAUGGUUAUUUCAUACCAGGACCUGGCUUCCAACAAUGUCAGAAACUUGUCCUUCAAAAGUCACCCACUGAGGAAAGCAGAUUCUUCUGCAGGAUGUGAAGGGGAAACAUGAGGGAAGGAUUCCUGGGUACCAGAGAGAUCUGCCAUUCAGAUUGCCUGCUAACACUGGGCUUGAUUAAUGGAAACCAAGCAUUUUCAAGGAUAGCCUCCAGCCUUGUUCCCUUGGCAGAAAUCAGAGAUUUGAAAGCUGCAAUACAAC
This is a long non-coding RNA of Melospiza melodia melodia, 295 nucleotides long. RefSeq lists it as uncharacterized. The record is from RefSeq and is a predicted model, not a curated record. NCBI's taxonomy places the organism in Eukaryota, Metazoa, Chordata, Aves, Passeriformes, Passerellidae. The transcript has 3 exons.